RNA transcript from Raphanus sativus (radish), 1988 nucleotides. It is a transcript of the gene named casein kinase 1-like protein 3, with no coding region annotated. The record is from RefSeq and is a predicted model, not a curated record. The transcript is spliced from 15 exons. Lineage: Eukaryota; Viridiplantae; Streptophyta; Magnoliopsida; Brassicales; Brassicaceae.
UCCUUAUCUCUCUCUCUCUCUCUCUCUUCACCAUCGACGCGCACGAACUGAUCCCAGAUUCGUUUUUCUGAUCGGAGAGCUGCCAUGGAACGCAUCAUCGGCGGCAAGUACAAGCUCGGACGAAAGAUCGGCGGCGGCUCCUUCGGAGAGAUUUAUCUAGCUACACACGUCGAUACGUUCGAGAUCGUGGCGGUUAAGAUCGAGAAUAGCAAGACGAAGCAUCCUCAGCUUCUCUACGAAGCUAAGCUUUACAGAGUUCUCGAAGGAGGAAGUGGGAUACCGCGGAUAAAGUGGUUUGGUGUUGAUGGAACGGAGAAUGCUUUGGUGAUGGAUUUGCUAGGGCCGAGUCUUGAGGAUCUCUUUGUUUAUUGUGGGAGGAAGUUUUCUCCCAAGACUGUUUUGCUCUUAGCUGACCAAAUGCUGACGAGGAUAGAGUAUGUACACUCCAAGGGGUAUCUGCAUAGAGAUAUCAAGCCUGAUAACUUCCUCAUGGGCCUAGGGAGGAAAGCUAAUCAGGUUUAUCUAAUUGACUUUGGACUUGCCAAAAGGUAUCGUGAUGCCAACACCAACCGCCACAUCCCUUACAGGGAGAACAAGAAUUUAACAGGAACCGCACGGUAUGCAAGUUGCAAUACGCAUCUCGGAAUUGAGCAGAGUAGACGGGAUGACCUAGAAUCUCUUGGAUAUGUGCUUCUGUAUUUCCUUAGAGGAAGUCUUCCAUGGCAGGGUCUCAAGGCUGUUGACAAGAAGCAAAAGUAUGACAAAAUUUGUGAGAAGAAGAUAUCAACUCCUAUUGAGGUUCUAUGCAAAGGCCACCCUGUGGAGUUUGCUUCAUAUUUUCAUUACUGCCACACGCUGACAUUUGAUCAGCGCCCUGAUUAUGGAUUCUUGAAGCGCCUCUUUCGUGAUUUAUUCUCACGGGAAGGAUAUGAAAUGGACUAUAUAUUUGACUGGACUAUAAUAAAGUAUCAACAAGCACAGAAAACUAGAAAUCAGUCUCAGGCAGUUCCUGGACCUAGCAAUACUCGUGCAACACCAAUGGACACAAGCAAUCAUCGAGGAGGACCAAAUAUUUCUUAUGAAGCCGACGUCUCUGAGCGUGUGAGAUCCGGUAAGGCCAUCGGUGCAAGCCCACAGAUUAAUAAUAAUACUGCUACAGAGAGGACUCUGGGUUUUAAUCAGCCCGUCCACAACAAUGUGAACAUGCCAUCGACUUCACUGUCACCUGCGGGUACCUCAAAAAGAAAUGUCGGAAAGUCUGGGUUCCCUCCGGAAUCCUCAAGUGCUGGGUAUGAGAGUGGGAAAAGAACUGGCGGCUGGACUUCAUCAUUCAUGUCUCCAGAUAAAUGAUGCAAAGAAAACAACAUUAUCUGAGACGGUGAGCAGCUAUUAAUGUGAGUCAUGCCCUUGGAAGAUUAAAAAAAGGUGUUAGUGACACCAAGUUCUGAUUUCUGCUGUAUAUUAUCUGAGAUGUGUGUGGACAGACAGGCAGCUAUAGAAGAUGGUGUUUUUCCAUGAACACAUUCGUGUUACACACACAAAGACAUGAAGUAAAUCCAGAGCCAAGCAUUUGUGCUGUGGGAGAUGGUCUUCAAAGGCUUCGGAAAGAGCACACCUUUCUCCUUUUUAAAUGACAGAGGUUGAUGUUGAGACACUCAAAGAAAAACUAAUAUGUCAAAGAGAGCUCAUGAAGGCAGGAGCAGAGGAGGCUGCGCGGAGACAUAGUAGUAACUUUAAGGUUAUUGGUUUAUGUAAUAAUUGAAAAAGAGUGAAAUGCAAAUCCAAGUCAUCACCCAGUCAUGAAAAUGGCAAAUUUUGACUCUCUACAGGGGAAUUAUAUGCAGCUGGUGGUCAUUGACUUUAUAUACUUCCGGCGAGUGCAAGAAACCAUUUAUUUAUUCAUUUUGAAUAUAACUUUUUCUUGAUCUGGUUUGCGUUGUACAUGGAAAUUUUCCAUAUAUACAAAUAAAGUUUGCUCAAUAUCAUCA